AAGGAUUUAAGUUAAUCAAACUAAGAACCUUCAAAGUUCUAAAUAAAGACAUUUAUCCUCUUUA
This 64-nucleotide transfer RNA is filed under the name Eudicella smithii. Its description in RNAcentral is "tRNA-Trp". Lineage: Eukaryota; Metazoa; Arthropoda; Insecta; Coleoptera; Scarabaeidae. The record is from RNAcentral. RNAcentral also lists the same sequence under 1 other name.